UGAGUGCUUUCGGAGAUGCAUGCCCUGGA
RNAcentral lists this non-coding RNA (29 nucleotides) under Mus musculus (house mouse). Lineage: Eukaryota; Metazoa; Chordata; Mammalia; Rodentia; Muridae. The record is from RNAcentral.